UCAAAUAUAUGAAAAUUGUGGUAUCCGUAUCUUUGAGGGAUUAUAAUCGUAGUUUACAUAGGCACGCCCUUGACAAUGUUGUGUAGACACAUUACAUUUUCUGGUUUUGUGAACAAGCCAACUAGAACAUUAAUAACUUCCUUUUAUGUCAUUGUUUUUUCCCAAAGAACACAAGGCUAAGCUAGAUUACAAAACGGCUAUUAAGGUGGUAACUGGUAAGCUAGAGGGAGGAUAAAUAACAAACUUCCAAAGCACGGUCUUUUGGAGUGAUUGUUGUAUGUCCCGUUGUCUUCGUAGUGGUGGAUCAAGUUCUCAAAUCCGCUAGUAAUGUUCUAUCUUACAACAAGUAGAAGAAUUUAGCAGGAGGGUAUAUAGGAAAAUUUAGAAUUAUUUAAACCUUUAACAUACUUGCCCAUUGUCAAAUUUCACAACUAAUUAAAGCUUCCUCUAUAUGCAUGAUUCUAACUCUUUUAAUUAGCUACUUCCAGAUCCAUCUUACCACACCUCGCUCCUAUAGAGAGAGAGAGAGAGAGAAAGAGAAAGAAAGUUAAGUACUUCCCGCUUUAUUCAGUUAGAUACAUGCAUUCAUAUUAAACAAGAGAGUAAUGGAUCACAUCAUGCACCAUCGAUAAUGUACAACACUAGUUAAAUUAAUUCCUACACUUGAAAUAUUUAAAAUAGCAACAAAAUUAUUAAUGAUAUCUUAAAAACAAGAUAAAACAAAACCAACCAGUGGUUGGUUCGAAUGCUCAAGCGGCCCCUUAAUUAAACAUGUAGCUAAAAUUCGGAGAUUGAUAGUACCUAUGAAUGCUAACAUAUCUCCAAGAAGAGAUUAUAAUAAUAAUCAUAGUGAAUGACCGAAAUCAUAUACGAAAAGAAAAACCUAAAUAUUGUAGCUAGUGCUUAAUUAUUUAUAUAUAAUAUGUAAUAAUUAAUAUACCAUUGGGUGUGGUGAAGAAGAGAAGUAUUUUGUGGCUAGCUAGCAAAGAGCUUCCUCGGAACGGAAGGUUUGGUCCGAAGCAGAAAGACAGAAGCGAGAUCAUCGUGGGGCACUUGAAAGAAGCCAGCUUGAGAAUGAGAAUGAGAAGUCCUUCUGGACACUCGUGGUUUCUUCGGAGGUGGUGGACAAACCAACAACGUUUGAGCCACUUUUGAUGAUGACGUGGGUGUGUGGCACUCUUGCACCAGCAUCUCCUCCUUCGCUGAUGCCUCUACCAGCUCCGAGCCUUGGCUGAAGGUUCUAACCUUAGGAACAGGAACUGUUCGGAUGGGCAUAAUUGGCCGAAAUUCGUCUAGGAUUUCGAGACCCAUAUGUGGAGCUAGCUAGCUAUAGCAACAAAAUUCAGUGUUAUGAAUUACUAUGAUGGUAUGGUAGUAGAAAAUUAAUUUAAUGUUUGGUUUGGCAUGAAGGCGUGCAGAGAGAAAUUGAGAGGGUGAUGAUGGGAUGCGCUUAAAGAGAGACAGAUAUAUGAGAGAGAAGAAAGAAGGUGGAGGGGGGGUGGGGUGACAAACACCAAUUAUGUCCUGUGUCUACUACCAUUAUUG
RNAcentral lists this long non-coding RNA (1545 nucleotides) under Glycine max (soybean). RNAcentral's name for it is "long non-coding RNA (GMAX_LNC003831)". Lineage: Eukaryota; Viridiplantae; Streptophyta; Magnoliopsida; Fabales; Fabaceae. The record is from RNAcentral.